UGGCCCUACGGGGGGCAGCAGUGAGGGAUAUUGGUCAAUGGGGGAAACCCUGAACCAGCAACGCCGCGUGAGGGAAGACGGUUUUCGGAUUGUAAACCUCUGUCCUCUGUGAAGAUGAUGACGGUAGCAGAGGAGGAAGCUCCGGCUAACUACGUGCCAGCAGCCGCGGUAAUACGUAGGGAGCAAGCGUUGUCCGGAUUUACUGGGUGUAAAGGGAGCGUAGACGGCCGUGCAAGUCUGAUGUGAAAACCCGGGGCUCAACCCCGGGACUGCAUUGGAAACUGCAUGGCUGGAGUGUCGGAGAG
RNAcentral lists this ribosomal RNA (305 nucleotides) under uncultured bacterium. Its description in RNAcentral is "bacterial SSU rRNA". It matches the Rfam family "Bacterial small subunit ribosomal RNA", at positions 334 to 656 of the family's 1533-position model. The record is from RNAcentral.